Long non-coding RNA from Cyprinus carpio carpio, 793 nucleotides. NCBI's taxonomy places the organism in Eukaryota, Metazoa, Chordata, Actinopteri, Cypriniformes, Cyprinidae. The record is from Ensembl.
GAUUGUUUGCAGAUAAUGCUGUUCUUCUUUUUUUCAGAAGUUUUUUUGGUGAGCCAACUCUCACAAACCUUCCUAAAAAAACUAAAAAGAGCUAUUACUGAGUCUCGGCUAAUCUUGCCAUGGUCAGCUCUUCCCAGAAGAGAAGGAAGACCAAGGAAAUUAUUUGCUCAGGAUGAGAAAUGAAGAUGGCCAUCUUGUGCUCAAACAAACAGAAGUCCUCUGAUGAUCUCAUCAGCCAAAUGAGGGGUUUUGAACAAGUGAUGCUCUUGAAAGGAGUGAAAGAAGAGGAUGUGGUAAAUUGUCUUAAAGCAGCUUGAAGAAUGGUAAGUGUACAGUACUACAAGGGUCAUAGUUGCUCACCCUGCUAAAAUCACACAGAACAUAAGCUGAGUUCUCUGUCCAUUAAACAACUUCAUCUGGAUUGUUUGUUUCACUUUGACCAGGUCUGGGAUGUUAGGACUGAGAGAUCCUCUGACUGAGAGAAGCUACACCACAUCAGUGCUGGAUAUCAACCACAAACUGUUUCCAGACACGAGAGAAGAAGAUCAUGAUGGGGAGAUGAAACCAGUUUAGAUGUGAUGAUAAGGAAUCAUUAUUUUCUGAAACAGGAUCAAAUGUCUUAUAUGUAUCACAUGAUCUGUAUCACAGUUGACUGGAUGGGACUGUGUGACUCAUUAAUAUAUGAGGUUAAUGUAUUUUUGAUUAUGAAUAAUUAUUUUCCUUGAAUCUUAUUUGUCUUGAUGCUACUUUAUCAUCUGUAUAGUCUAUGCUUCAAUAAAAUGAAAAUUGUGAA